RNAcentral lists this unclassified non-coding RNA (331 nucleotides) under Hevea brasiliensis (rubber tree). The record is from RNAcentral. Lineage: Eukaryota; Viridiplantae; Streptophyta; Magnoliopsida; Malpighiales; Euphorbiaceae.
UAUCGGCUCUCACAACUCCAACCUGCAAAACACCAAAUAUUCUUGUGAUGGAUUGCUGAAACAUUUUACUUAAUACUAUAACACUAGUCACUACAAAUGUCAUCUCAUCAUGCCAGCAAAAUCCCAUAUUGUAAAUCCUAUUGAAAACAUGUGUGGAUUUACAAGAGCCAAAUUAAAAGCCACCACUGGAAAGAAUGAACAUACCUUUGAUGGUGAACACAUUAAAAUAUUUAAUAUUAGCAUCUUUCCAUUUUCAGAUAUUCUGAUACUAUCAUUAGUGACAGUUAACAUGAUAAAGGGAAAUAUUAAUACCUCAAUCUCAGUAGCCUUG